ACAUGAGCAAGCGGCCGCGGGGCUGGAGCUGAGAUAGGCAGGUGCGUAUAUAAUAGACACUCGGACAUCUUUUCCUAGCCUGAGACCACACUGCUAAAAGGAGUCCGAGUUUACAAAUACUCUGGAGAGGCCACGGGGACAGGCUGAAGCGGAUUUUCAAUAGUGGAGCUAUGGGCACGUCUUUACUCCAUGGGUAGGACCCAACUAACCUGUCAUCGGGGAUGGACUGGAGUCUGUCCUCAGAAGACCGACCUUCGCCCGGGGGUGAAGGCGGGCUGCAAAGGGCUGGCAUUCGCGGCCCCGGGCACUGCACGGGCCUAGGUUACCGGCAGGCGGUGUAGUGAGCGCGCCUGCAGCUGCCAUCGCUCGCCCGUCCCAGCGAAGAGGAGAAAGGAGGGGACCCGAAGGAGCCGCUGGUGCUGCGGGAAGCGGCGGGAUCGGGAGGCGGGGACCCACCUGGAAGCGCCGCAGCGCCGCUGUCGAGCUUCCUGCGGCGGCGGCCACCCGAGCAAGUGCCGUGGCGGGGGCAGAGAUGGGCCACGGCCGCGGCGCCUCUUCGACUGGCCUGCAGCGCCCAAGCCCGCGCGGAAGUAGAGUGAAGGCUGGAGAAGAGACCAAGCUGAGCUCCUUGAACAAAUCAAAUCCUGGAAAAAUCAGAAAGAAAUUGGAAUGAGCUGUGACUUACAAAUAUUUUAAUAUGGAUAUAAUCUUAUUGUCAUGAAUAAAGUUUGAAAUCUGUUUAAUUAAAAUUGAGAGGCUAUAUCUGAUACAGUCUUGUUCCUUUCCUUGGCUUUGACAUACUAAAUUUCACAAUUGAAUUUUUAUCUGAAUUGGAAAAUGAGUAGUUUUACAGGCAUAAGUGAAAUAGGAUAUUGAUUAAUUGGCAGGAAGAUUAAUCUCAGGGAGGCCUGAUCCCAUUUGCCUGACAUUAAGUACAUAAUUGCUUCUUUGGACUUGCUGCAUCUACUUUAUAUACUGGUGUAGUGGAGUCCCAUCCCUGGAUUUGGGAAUGCAUAUGUGUCUGUCCAGACAAGGUGUCCUUUGGGGAAUGGUAGAGCACUGGGCCCAAUAUAAAAUAUUGAAUUCUCAUCUCCACUAACUGUACACUUUAAGUGAAUUGUAUGUGAAUUAUAUAUGAAUUAAAGCAUUAAUUAAAAUAGCCACAAAAAGGUACCAAUUCAUAAACACUGGUAUGACUAUAAAUAAACAGGAAGACAAUUAACCAGUGUUGUCAAAGAAGUAGAUAUUGGAAAAAUUACACAUUCCUGAUGAUGAUAUAAAAUGAGGCAACUAUUUGAAUAUCAUCAUGGUAGUUCCUCAAAGAUUAAACCUAACAUUACCAAUUGAUCCAGAAAUUCCACCCCCAGUUAUAUAUCAGAAAAAUGUAAAUUUAUAUCCACUCCAAAACUUCUCUAUGAAUGUUUAUAGUAGCCUAAUUCAUGAUAGCCAAAAAUGGAAACAUUGAAAAUGCCUAGCCAGUGAAUAAACAAAACAUAUUAUCACCAUACAAUGAAAUUUUAUUUGGCAAUUAAAAAACCAAGUACCAAUAUAUGUUACAACAUGGAUAAUCCUUGAAUCGUGAAAGGAUUGACAGAAGUGAGGAUUCAAAGGAGUGAAAGAAGCCAAACAUAAAAAGCCACAGUUUGCAUGAAAUGUCCAAAAUAGGCAAAUCCAGAAAAAAAAAAAAAAAAAAAGUA
Choloepus didactylus (southern two-toed sloth) is the source of this 1697-nucleotide long non-coding RNA. RefSeq lists it as uncharacterized. Lineage: Eukaryota; Metazoa; Chordata; Mammalia; Pilosa; Megalonychidae. The transcript has 2 exons. The record is from RefSeq and is a predicted model, not a curated record.